This 21-nucleotide microRNA is filed under the name Gadus morhua (Atlantic cod). RNAcentral describes it as "gmo-miR-11278-5p". The record is from miRBase by way of RNAcentral. Lineage: Eukaryota; Metazoa; Chordata; Actinopteri; Gadiformes; Gadidae.
GGGGAGAACCUGACUGGACCU